This 2004-nucleotide long non-coding RNA is filed under the name Rattus norvegicus (Norway rat). Its description in RNAcentral is "long non-coding RNA NONRATT005953". Lineage: Eukaryota; Metazoa; Chordata; Mammalia; Rodentia; Muridae. The record is from RNAcentral.
CUUUCAUGCUCUACCCUCUUCACUCUCUCGCCUGAAGGGUUGCAGGGGGCAUGGCCCUCUGCUCUCUCAUCUCCUCUUGGUGUUUUUGGUUUUUUUAAGCGAUUUCCUUUUAAUUAUCUUCCUUUUCCUUUUUCUUUUUUUAAAGAGUAAAAGAGAAAGCUAAAAACCAAACACACCAACGUCCCCUCACUUCCUGUUCCCCAGCGGGCCUCUGCUCCGCCCACUUCCUGUCAUUUUCCCCCUUCUGCUCCGCCCACUUCCUGUCAUCUUCUUCCCCUCUGCUCUUUCACCCUUUCCCCCCACCCCCAAGUCCAUCCAAAGUUCCCACCUCCCCUAACUUCCCAAGAACACUUGGAACAAACUCUGAGCCACGGAGACUUGGAGCGGAGCGAGACCCCCUCCCAUUUACUGGGUUCCUUCCUGGAGGAACAAAUGGACAAGGACUGACUCAGCGUCAGGCUGGACAAUGGACAAGGGAGACCCUGGCCUUGGAGACGCCCCACUGUCUGUCCAGCCUUCGAAGAGACAGAACUCUGCUGCUGGCCUGUGGUUUUUCUUUCGAACCAGGGUGGGCCUGGAAGCAGGCCUAGCUGGAGGGGAUUCCCAGAGAAGAGGCCAAGGCUGGGUGUGAGGAGGGAAGGGGGUGGGGGGGACACUAGGUGCCAGGGGAGAAGCUGGCUCACUGCUGCUCAGUGUCCGGCUGGUGCUAGCAACAAAUAGAAGGAGGUCCCCAAGACACCUGUUAUGGAGGGUGCUUCUGGGGACAGCCUGCCCCUGGGGUUCUGCCUUGGGAGAGGGCAACCCUGAGAGGGGCAACUGGUACUUUUAGUUCCCUAAUUUAGCACUUUAAAUGCCAUUAACUUAUUUUGUGGGGGUGGGGUGGGGAAGAUGGAAGGGCCUAGAACUAUGUUUGGAGGGUGGGAAGGGUCUGCUUUGAGGGAUACAGGGAGAAGGGUUGGGUGGGUGCAGUAAAGUCUCUGACCCCUAGGGGGAGCAACUUGACCUUCAGCCAGCCUCUAUGAUUCGAGGGUUUUCAGGGAAGGGGUGAGAUGUGACUUGCCUGUAGGGAUCUGGUGACCACUCGUCAGGUGUUUGAGGGUCCCCAAGGCAGAAGAGCCAGCUAGUACUCCAGUCUGGAUACCUUGCAGGGGUCCUGCACAGGGCAGACUGACUUUUGCGUGGGUCCAGGAGUCAAAGGGAGAGGCUGACUUGGUUCUGGCCUGGCCCCCAGCAAGUACAGAGGGGCCAGAGCGAAAAGGAUUACGGAGAGGGCUGGAAGGGUGGAGGGGGUCCCCUUUGGAGCACAAAGCAGAGUAAGCACAGAGAUGUGGUCUUGGGACUAGUCCCACAGUAAGCACAGAGAGGAACCAUUGAAGGGACAGAACCCCAAGACCCUGGAGCCCAGCAGGGGAGAGCCAGUGGCAGCUGUUGACGGUUUGGGGAGGGAGGGAAAACUGGGUUGUGUUUCUUUUCUUUGAUUUCGUUCGUUUUUAUUUCUUUCUCUUUGUUUUAUUGGUUUGCUCUUGUUUUCUAGCUUUGAAUCAUUUUUGUACUAAGGCAAGCAAGCCUUUUUGAAAAAUAACAAAAGAAGAAGAAAAAAAAAUCCCUCCCAGAAAAAAACAAAACGAAAAAAAAAAAAAAAACAAAAAACAAAAUAAAAAAAACCAAAAAAAGCCCUAAAAAAUAGAAAAAAAAGGACCUCACAAUGAUGCAAUUACUUUUAAUUGCAAGUAACUCUUUACAUUUAAGUGAAGUGUCUUAACAUUUUAUAUUGUUUUAAAAAUAUAUUUACAUAUUAUAUAUAUAUAAUAUACGUAAUAUAAAUAUAUAUAAAUAUUUAAAAAAGAAAAAAAAAAAAAAGAAAACCACAGCACACUCUCCCUGGCCGCUGUCUGGCAAGGGAGGGGCUGGGGACAGGCGUAUGGCCUGGUGUCCAUAGUCCCCGUGAAGCAGUUUGGUUUGAUUUGGCUGUACAGAGACCCCUGGCUUGGGAGGGGAGGGGGA